AAGAUGUUCUGGUACAGGGAGCUACUGUGGUUAUGAAGGUAGUUUUCCCAGAGCAAAGCUUAUCCAUUGCCAACCCCUGCAGUUUCCCCAAAUGUGGGAACCUUGACUGCAUAAUUUGUGGUAGAGGGGGACUGAGUUUGUACUCUCCCCUG
This 152-nucleotide small nuclear RNA is filed under the name Nannospalax galili (Upper Galilee mountains blind mole rat). RNAcentral's name for it is "U1 spliceosomal RNA (ENSNGAG00000003198.1)". It matches the Rfam family "U1 spliceosomal RNA". From Rfam's summary of the family: U1 is a small nuclear RNA (snRNA) component of the spliceosome (involved in pre-mRNA splicing). Its 5' end forms complementary base pairs with the 5' splice junction, thus defining the 5' donor site of an intron. The record is from RNAcentral. Lineage: Eukaryota; Metazoa; Chordata; Mammalia; Rodentia; Spalacidae.